RNAcentral lists this long non-coding RNA (7554 nucleotides) under Gossypium barbadense (sea-island cotton). RNAcentral's name for it is "long non-coding RNA (GBAR_LNC003602)". The record is from RNAcentral. Lineage: Eukaryota; Viridiplantae; Streptophyta; Magnoliopsida; Malvales; Malvaceae.
UUGGACUAAUAUAUACGUUGUACCUCACAUUCAAUAUGGUGGACCCAAUACCAUAAAACUCAAAUCCAUAAGGUCUAGCUGAGGCAACUCAGCUUAGAUAAUGGUGAUGCAACCCCAUAACAAUCAUGUCUGACAAACUUCACCCUUUAAACCUCUUUACACCCUCGUACAGACACUACCUUCUUAAGACGACACAAUCCAAAUAAGAUAUAUAUUGAGAAGACUCCUACAAGUACCCAUGAAUGUAUCACCUCUAGUAGUUCCUCCAUUUGGUUUUUUCAAGUGAAGUACAAUAAAAUCUUAAGUUGACACUCACUAUACUACAACGCCUAGACUUGAGGGAUAUGAGUGUAUGACUAGCCUUCCUUUUCCUAUAAAUACCACCUGGACGACAAGUAAAAGUAAGUCGUUCUAUAAGACUACCAUUCAUGUCUAUUCGCCACCAAGUGCUCUCUGCAACUCUCUCAAUGUGAACUGCCUUUACAACAGCGGCUCUUCACAAUCUCUCUUCGCAUGACUUUCUGGAUGGGUUCUGCAAAAAGCAAAGCUUGAUACUGAGCUAAAUCAUAAUUGUGCUGUAGCAAGAUUACAAAGCAGAUUCAGUAGAAGGUUGCUGUUUUACCAGUGCCAGACCAUGCUGGCGGAAUUACGUAUACACUUCUAGUGAAGAACACAAUUCCCCUUUGUUGAAUAACAGACUGCUUCUCGAAUUCUAUGUGCAAGCAUUAUGACUUAAAUUUGGACCAUCAAACCCCUUUUAUCAAAAGCUCUCAUAAACACUAAGCAUGUAAUCAUGAGCCAGUAAAACUCAGAAAAUUGGCUACUAAGUACACAUGUCUAAGAAUUAAUCACAUAAAAAUUAGGGCUGAUCGUAAAACUUACAAUUCAUUCAUUUUGUUGUUAUGAUUACGCACAUCAUACCAUGAUCCUCCAAAUUCCAAGUCUAUUCAAAGUUAAAGGAACCUAAACAUAAAUGACAAGUGUGGAUUCGUGGAAAUAUAGCAACCUUAAAUUCUUCUAACUACAAUAAAGUAAAUUUAACUCAAAGGAAUAGCAGCAACAUAAGCUAUACUUCAAAACACACUAGGGUUAUUUAUGGUACAGUAACAUAUUUUAUUUUUAUUUAAGUCUAAUUCGGCUCAAAAUAUGAUUUUAAAAUUUUGAUCCAGUCCGUUCAUAUUUACAAAUGACUAAUUCAGCUCAUUUUAGGCCCACUUAUAUUAUUUUAUUAAAAUUAUAUUUGUAUUUAUAUUUUUUAAAUUUAAUAUUUAAUAAUUUUAAUGUUCAAACUUGAGCCAGAUCUAUAUUUUAAAUGAGUCAAAUUUUUUUGCCCUAGCUCAUUUUUCAAGUAUAAUAUUUUUGCUAAAAUUCUUUCAAAUUUUAAAUAAAUCUUUAAGCCUGAACAAGUCUAACUAUAACAAAGUAAAACACUCUAAGCCCCAACAAGGUAAUGAGCAAUGCAAUACAAUAGGCAAUGAACAGGCUACUAAACAAUUUAGGGGUGUUAAAAUGGUCGAUUCGGUUAAUAUACGAACCGAAUAACCCUAAAUAUAAAAACAUUUAACCGUUAAUCGAAUCAAAAUUUUUUCAAAUACAUUAACUAAAUUGAAAUCUUUCGGUUAAUUUGGUCAGUUAACCGAAUUAAUUAAAUUUAUAUUUUUUUGUCUUUUGGUUAAAAUAAGUAUAAAACAUAUAAAAAAAUACAUUGCUAAUGUUCAUUUUCUUUUAUUUGAUGGUUAAAAAACUUUAAAUAGAGGUGAAAAUAACAAAUAAGACAUUAAAAUUAUUACAUAUAUUAAUUAUUUAUAUACUUGGGUGGGUUAUAUAUAUUAUAUAUUGUAACAGCCCGAUUUUGGGCCUAGUCGAAACAGUGGUUUUGGGACCACUAUUUCGAGGCUAGAGAAAAUUAUUUUAGUAUUUUUUUAUGUGUUAUAAUAUAAUUUUAUAAGUGCAUGUAAAUUUUGGUAAGUUAAUUAUUAGCAAUUUCUAGUCCAAUUUCGAAAAAGGACUAAAUCGCGUAAGAGGUAAAAGUUGUGUUCUAAUACUAAAGGUGUUAAAUUGCCUUGUAUCUUAAAUUGGGGGUAUUUAAAGUGAAAUUAGGCCAUUGAAAGUGUGAUGGCCGGCCAUGGGAGACAAAAUUGUUGAAAAGUCAAAAUUAGGUGAAAUUUGGUCACCAAUUUUGACUAGUUUUAUUAUUAACAAAUCAAAAAGAAAAAGUUAUCAUUUUUCUCUUCUCCUUCACCGAAAUAUGCAGCAAAGAAAGGGCUUUGAAGCUGGAAAGUUUUAGCAACAUAUUUCACUUGCUUGUAAGUGAUUUUAAUGUAUUUGCUUGAUGAUUUUUACAUUUUUGGAACCCCUAAAGCAUGAGCUUUCAUAAGAGGGGACUAUUUUGCAAAAUGAUGAAGAGUCUAGGGUUUUGCCAUGAGAGUAAAUGUGUUGUUUGCUGUGUUUUUAUGGAAGAUUAUGAGUCCUAGUUGUCUAAUAAACAACUUUUGUGAAAGAAAUUGCAUGAAAACACCUUAAAAAGGGCUAGAUUGCUAAGUUGUAAAAUGAGUUGUAAAUGUGUGAAAUAGUUGAAAUUAUGAGUUGCUAUAGUUAUGAAAAUGGUUCAUCUAGACUCAAGGAGUAAAGAAAUGUGAUAAAAAUUAUUUUACGAGCCUAGGGGUAAUUUGGUAAUUUUGGCAAAAUAUAGGGGAAAAAUUGUAAAAAAAAUGCUCAAGUGUGUCAAUGGACUAAUUUGAUCAGUAAAUUGUUUUAAUAAGUUGAAUGUGAUAUUUUAGAUGAUGAAAAUCGAGAUUUGGACCUAGAACGGAAAGAAAUCGAUUAAGGGAUAAUUACGUCUUUUUUUCACCUUUGUGGUAUCGAGGUAAGUUCAUGUGUAAAUAAUGUAGCAUAAUUGUUAUUUUUAAGUUAUUGAUGUUAAAUAUAUGAUAUGCUGAUUUUUAUCAUUAAAUAUAUGCUUUGUGGUUAUUUUCGAAUAAAAUGCAAGUUAUGUGUAUUAUCUGUUAAAUAUAAAGUGCUACUGAGUAUUGGUUUCGGUAUUUUACGGAAGAUGGCAAGGAUAUGUGUUCGAGGAAAAUCCCGUUUGAACCUUAGGAAUAGAUUAGGAUACAAGUGACAUGUCACUAGGAUGGUUGAGCAUCCGAACUCGUUGAGUUGAGUCCGAGUUCACUUAUGGAUGCGAAUGUUCGAACUCGUUGAGUUGAGUCUGAGUUCGUGAGAUGUAACUAGGCAUCCGAGCUCGUUGAGUUGAGUCCGAGUUCACUUAUGGGCGGGUUACAUUGUAGCUUGGCUACAUAUGUGGCACUUAUGUGCAAACUUUCUAUGUAUCCGAAUUAUAUUCCGAUGUGUUCAACAGGUAAAAUUCUACUCAAAUGGAGGAAUACUCGAGAUGAAAGGGACGUAUUGGUAAAUGUUGUGAAAUGGAUACUUUGAACAGGUAUGUACUUAACCCUCGGGUUGAAAACUCGACAUAACAACAAUAUGGUAAGAUGGUAAAUGAAAAUGUGAUAUGAAUGUCUCGGUGAUGAUUAUACAAACGAUGUUGUAUUAAUUUUGUGAACAAUGAUCAUGAAUGAGUAAUUUAGCCUUAACAGAUUUGAGUUACUGCAGUAGUGUAACUUUGAAAAUACACUAAAAAUAGUGGAAAAUGAGUUAGAGGCAGAAUAAAAUAUGGGAUUAAAGCUUAAUGAGUCUAUUUUCACAUGAAAGAAACAGGUGAAGAAAAAGAAUUCCAUAUUGUGUGAUAUUUGAAUUCUUGUGAAAUAGGGUCUUGAAUGAAUUCGAGAUCCCCUGUUCUGACUUUAGAAAUUCACCAAAAAUUGUAAAAAAAUUAUUAAGAGUCAUACCUUACAUGCAUAGAUUCCUUAUUGAGUCUAUUUUUAGGGGAAAUAAAUUCCAUGGUCGUUGGAAUUUUGUACAGGGAGAAAUUUGGUUUGUAGUGCACAGGGGUCAGAGUGGUCAUACCCUGAAACAGGGGAGACUUUAACUAAUAAACUGUACUAAUUGGCCCAACCAAAAAUUCUAGAAAAAAAAUUAGUAAGUAGACAUAUGAGUCUAGUUUCAAGAGAAAUAGACGAGAACAUUAUUCGAGUCUUGUACUAUGAGAUAAUUGAACUUUAGUACAGAAGGGUCGGAACUGUCAGACAGUGAAUCAGGGGUAACUUUGAGGAAUAAACUGUACUAUUUGGCUUAACCCAAAAUUCUGAAAAUUUUAAGGAAGAAAGGAAAAUUAGUCUAGUUUCAGGGAAAAUUAACGGAACUUAAUUUGGAGUUUCGUAGCUCCAGAUAUAAAUAAUUUAGUGACUGUUGCUCAGGAAGACAGCUUGCAGUGAACUUGAGAAUAUGUUGUAAACAUUGAUAAAACAAGUUAAUGAGUUGCUUAUUGUUUUCAUAUGAACUUACUAAGCGAAAGCUUACCCCCCUUCUUUUCCAUGUUUUCUAGAGUUUCCAGGUUAGCUCGGGUUGGAGGCCGUCAGAGAUAUUAUCAUACUGUCGAGUUAACGCUAUCGGCGUAAGUAAACUCAAGUGAUUCUAGUCUAUGGCAUGUAUAGGGUUUUAAUGUGAGUAUGUAAUAUUAUGAUUUAGCCAAAGACAUUGGCUUUUUAUUAAGGUAGUAUUAGUCAUGUAAAUUGGCCUAUGUCGGCUAAUAUCGUUAUGGGCCCAUAUGAUUAUUCUUAUGCAUGUAUAUUAUUAUCUCUUGUGAUGUGGCUUACAACAUGUAUGCCUAGAGAUUGAAUUGAGAUUCAUUGAUGAGCUAAUAACUAAUGCAGGAUUAAGUGAUUGGUAAAUAGUUAAUAAUGCUUCAUGAAUGGUUUGUGGAUAUGAUUAUGCAUGCUUUGUGAUGGACAUGAGGUUUGAUGACAUGUUGAUAGCUAUAGCAUUAAUAUGAUAAAGAUGAAAGAAAAACUUAUUGUAAUGGUUGCAUGUGAAAUUACCAUGGUCAUGUCAUGUUAGGAAGGUUUAAGUGCCUAAUUUUGCCAUUUGUAUGCUAUUGUAUAAGUAUGCGUGAAUGUGUUGUGAGUGUGACAAAAUGGCUUGGAAAAUAGCCUUAUAUUUGUCCAGGUUUUGGACAUGGGUUGGGCAUGUCCUUAGCACCCGGGCGUGUGUUCUAUACCUACACGGGCGUGUGGAGCCUUGAUACAAUAAAUUUCUUAAGUUUUUCAUGAGUUCUCGGUUGGGUCUCGAACCACCCCGAAUGCAUGUAUUGUGUAACACCCCUUACCCGUAUCCAACACCGGAAUAGGGUAAGAGGCAUUACCAAAACACAUACACUUGUAAACGUAUUUAACCGAGUUAUAAAAUUUCAUCAAAAUUAAAACUUUCAAAAAUAAUUAACAUGUUUCUAUAACUUUUCACAAUAUAUCCUCAAAAUAUUAUAAUCAUAAUAAUUAGGGCCUGCGAGACCCGAUACAUACUUAUGCAAUUUAAUGCUUCAUUUUCAUUUCAUUCAAUUCGCAAUUUCUCAUGCUCAUAAUUUAAAUCAUAUCACUAGAAAUUUCCAUUUAAUUCACGUACAAUUCAAUGACAUCAAAUUCAAAACUAAUACGUAUUUACCAUUUAACUCAAUGUUUAUUGAUUAUACCAUUCAAUAACACAUUUAUGAAAUUCUCAAUUUAGCAAUGAAAAUAUCACUUUAGUUUGAAUAACAACAUCGUCCUGAUAUAAAUACACUACCACUUAUCCAUUUACUUUAAUUCUUUUGGGCCCAUUUGUCACUUACCAUCCUUAAUCAAAUUAGGGAACGGUCACGGAAAAUUGAGUACUUCACUUUCACUUUGCCAUAGUAUAACUAUGGUCUUACGUAUGAUCACUUAUCACUUGUCCCUGAUCAGAUAAGUGUAGCCACCUAUCACUUUGUUUCUUGAUCAGAUAAGUGUAGCCACUUAUCACUUUGUUUCUUGAUCAGAUAAGUGUAGCCACUUAUCACUUUGUCACUUGAUCAGAUAAGUGUAGCUAAAGCUAUCACUUAUCACUUUGUCUCUUGAUCAGAUAAGUAUAGCCGAAGCUAUCACUUAUCACUUUUCACUUAUCACUUGAUCAGAUAAGUGUAGCCGAAGCUAUCACUUAUCACUUUCCACUUGUCACUUGAUCAGAUAAGUGUAGCUAAAGCUACCACUUAUCACUUUAUCACUUGAUCAGAAGUACUCAAAUCCGGCGUUCCGCUCAAUUUGAUCAUUUAUUCAUAUAUCAGGCUUACCAACAUGUGUUAAUUCAUAAACCAUUCAUGGUAUUAUUUCAUGCCAAAUCAUAUACUGAAUAUACCAUACACACAUACUAUGAAACUUUAUUUUCACACAUGAGCUUAAACCAUGACCAAUAAUGCACAAAAAUAAGCAUCAUUCAUAUUUCAUCGUUUAUGAGUUAUAAUCAAACAUAUGACCAUUUAUACACGAAUCAUUCAUAUAUUUCCCAAUUUUCCUCCUCCUCCUCUCCAUUCCACAUCCUUAAUGUGUAUAACACACUUAAACAACAUUAACCAUAAUUUCAAUAUUCACUAACAUGUAUAUUCAAAGCUGUUUAUCCGAGUCAGAGUCACUAAAUUAUUUUUAUCCGGAGCUACAGAGCUCCAAAUUAAGAUCCGUUAAUUUUUCCUGAAACUAGACUCACAUAUCUUCAUACCAUAAAAUUUUCAUAAUUUUUGGUUCAGCCAAAUAGUACAUUUUAUUCUUUAAAGUUUCCCCUGUUUCGCUGUCUAACAGUUCCGACCACUCUUCACUAAAAAUUAAUUAUCUCAUUGUACAGAAUUCGGAUGAUGUUUUAGCUUGUUUCUUCUAAAAAUAGACUCAUUAAGGAUUCUAACCAUAUAAACUAUAACUCAUAAUAAUUUCUGUACAAUUUUUAAUGAUUUUCCAAAGUCAGAACAGGGGAACCCGAAUUUAUUCUGACCUUGUCUCACAAAAUCUAUUAUAUCUCAUGAUUUACAAUUCCAUUGCUCACAUCAUUUCUUUUAUAAGAAACUAGACUCAAUAAGCUUUAAUUUCAUAUUUUAUUCAUCCUCUAAUUCAAUCUCUACAAUUUUUGGUGAUUUUUCAAAGUUACACUACUGCUGCUGUCCAAAACUGCUUUAGUGCAAAAUGUUGAUUUCCAUUUUGCCCCAAAUUUCACAGUUUAUACAAUUCGGUCCUUUCUCAAUUAACCCCUCAAUUAAUCUAAUUUUCUCAAUUAGUACUUUACUAGACAUUAUAAGUUGUUACACAACUAUUGAAAUUCAGAAUUUCCACAUAUAACUCUAUCUUCAAACUCUUUUACUAUUAGGUCCCAAACAUUCACUUUCUAUUCAAUUCUUUCAAUAAAAUCAGCAUAUGAACAAUUUAAAGCUCUAAUUUCAUGCUAAAUCAUCAUAUACUUCCAGCACAUAUUCAUAUCAACUUUCAACUUCUUUCAUAAAAUCAAAAACUAAUGAAUUUAACAAGUGGGCCUAGUUGUAAAAGUCAUAAAAAUACAAAAAUUUCAAGAAAUAGUCAAGAAUUGAACUUACUUGUAAUAAAAAUAUGAAGAACCAGCUUGAAGAAGCCCUUCCAUGGUGUUUUAGCUGAUGAGAAUUCAGAAAAA